UGGGGAAUGACUGCUAAGGCGUAUGGGUUUUGUUUGGGGUGAGGAAAAUAUCCUGGACUUAGAUAUUGGUGACGGUUGCACAACUCUGCACCCUGCGUACAUCACUUGGUUUAACCGUCACAAUUACCCGGUAAAUGGGAAUUCUCAGCUGCGUUUCAGACAAGGAACCUACAGCCUGGAAGGGUUAGUUAACCUAAAAGGGGAAGAAUUCUCAAUUUCCACACCAGAUGUGCAUGCCCAUUUACCUCCAGGAAAACACACAGAGAAAUAGCUGCGUUUUUGUCUGCAGCUAAGGGUUCUUGCCCAAACCAGGCAGUAGAAGGAAGAGUUUGCUGGGCUACAGUGCAGUUUGAAAAUCAUUAGCUUCCCAACGAUAGAAGAUGACAGAUGAAAUCUCUCCCUCAAAGUACAUGAGAAGGAUUGUUUUAAAGUUUUAGAAGUUUUCAG
RNAcentral lists this long non-coding RNA (447 nucleotides) under Equus caballus (horse). Its description in RNAcentral is "lncRNA (ENSECAG00000054499.1)". The record is from RNAcentral. Lineage: Eukaryota; Metazoa; Chordata; Mammalia; Perissodactyla; Equidae.